AUACGUAGGGGGCAAGCGUUAUCCGGAUUUACUGGGUGUAAAGGGAGCGUAGACGGGCGUGCAAGUCUGAAGUGAAAGCCCGGGGCUCAACCCCGGAACUGCUUUGGAAACUGUAUGUCUAGAGUGCAGGAGAGGUAAGUGGAAUUCCUAGUGUAGCGGUGAAAUGCGUAGAUAUUAGGAGGAACACCAGUGGCGAAGGCGGCUUACUGGACUGUAACUGAAGUUGAGGCUCGAAGGCGUGGGGAGCAAACAGGAUUAGAUACCCUGGUAGUCCACGCGGUAAACGAUGAAUACUAGGUGUCGGGAGAGAAACUCUUUCGGUGCCGCAGCAAACGCAAUAAGUAUUCCACCUGGGGAGUACGUUCGCAAGAAUGAAACUCAAAGGAAUUGACGGGG
This 396-nucleotide ribosomal RNA is filed under the name uncultured bacterium. Its description in RNAcentral is "partial 16S ribosomal RNA". It matches the Rfam family "Bacterial small subunit ribosomal RNA", at positions 523 to 918 of the family's 1533-position model. The record is from RNAcentral.